RNAcentral lists this ribosomal RNA (255 nucleotides) under Salmonella enterica subsp. enterica. Its description in RNAcentral is "partial 23S ribosomal RNA". It matches the Rfam family "Bacterial large subunit ribosomal RNA", at positions 13 to 268 of the family's 2925-position model. Lineage: Bacteria; Pseudomonadati; Pseudomonadota; Gammaproteobacteria; Enterobacterales; Enterobacteriaceae. RNAcentral also lists the same sequence under 1 other name. The record is from RNAcentral.
AAGCGUACACGGUGGAUGCCCUGGCAGUCAGAGGCGAUGAAGGGCGUGCUAAUCUGCGAUAAGCGCCGGUAAGGUGAUAUGAACCGUUAUAACCGGCGAUACCCGAAUGGGGAAACCCAGUGUGACUUGUCACACUAUCAUUAACUGAAUCCAUAGGUUAAUGAGGCGAACCGGGGGAACUGAAACAUCUAAGUACCCCGAGGAAAAGAAAUCAACCGAGAUUCCCCCAGUAGCGGCGAGCGAACGGGGAGGAGC